This is an RNA transcript of Mercurialis annua (annual mercury), 2359 nucleotides long. It is a transcript of the gene named ribulose-1,5 bisphosphate carboxylase/oxygenase large subunit N-methyltransferase, chloroplastic, with no coding region annotated. The record is from RefSeq and is a predicted model, not a curated record. The transcript has 13 exons. Lineage: Eukaryota; Viridiplantae; Streptophyta; Magnoliopsida; Malpighiales; Euphorbiaceae.
AAGGUAAAAGAAAGUUAUGUUGACUGUUGAGAAUUUGCCUAUUGCAAUUCACAGCAAACAAACAAAUUCUUCAAUUACUUCCUCAUCCUCUUCCUAAUCCUAGCUCUACCUUUUACCAACAAUUUCUCGCCAAUUCCCUAACUCACUAUGCUAACGUUUCCACCCAUGGAACUCUAUUCCUUACGCGACAACUGCAUUUCACCUCUCCCUAUUUUCCCUAGGGUUUCCUCAUCCUCACCUUCACUCUCUCUCAAACGCACCCAUCCCUUUCUGUCACUCCGCCGCCGGAGAAAUUCGUGCUCCGCCUCCACCUCCGACACAUUACUCGCUGGUUCCCGCAAGGACGAUGAGAAACGCAGUGGCGGAGUAGUUGUGAGUAGUAGUAAAAAGGAAGAAAAAGAAGAGGAUGAUUUGAAGGAGUGGAUGCAUAAAAAUGGACUGCCUCCGUGUAAAGUUCUUCUUAAAGAACGAAGGCAUCCUCAUGAUUCUAAAUAUCGACCUAUUCAUUACGUUGCUGCUAGUGAAGAUCUUCAGGCUGGCGAUGUGGCGUUUUCAGUUCCGAAUUCGCUCGUUGUUACGCUCGAGAGAGUGUUGGGAAAUGAGACCAUUGCUGAACUACUGACUACAAAUAAACUGUCUGAAUUGGCAUGCUUGGCAUUGUAUCUUAUGUAUGAGAAGAAGCAAGGGAAGAAGUCAUUUUGGUAUCCAUAUAUUAGAGAGCUUGAUCGCCAAAGAGGUAGGGGCCAACUGGCUGUAGAAUCUCCACUUCUAUGGUCAGAAGCUGAAUUGGCAUAUCUGACCGGUAGCCCCACUAAGGCUGAAGUUAUUGAAAGGAGAGAUGGAAUUAAAAGAGAAUAUGAUGAGCUUGAUACAGUCUGGUUCAUGGCCGGCUCUCUGUUUCAGCAAUACCCAUAUGAUAUACCUACCGAAGCCUUUUCCUUUGAGAUUUUCAAACAAGCAUUUGUUGCUGUACAGUCAUGUGUGGUGCACUUGCAGAAAGUCAGUUUGGCUCGGAGAUUUGCGUUGGUUCCUCUUGGACCCCCUUUGCUAGCCUAUAGGAGCGCCUGCAAGGCAAUGUUAACUGCUGUUGAUGGUGCUGUUCAACUAGUGAUUGAUCGUCCAUACAAGGCUGGAGAACCCAUUGUUGUCUGGUGUGGACCACAGCCUAAUUCAAAGUUGCUUAUAAACUAUGGUUUUGUUGAUGAAGAUAAUUCUUAUGACCGAGUCACCGUAGAGGCAGCACUUGAUAUCGAAGAUCCUCAAUAUCAAGACAAAAGAAUGGUUGCUCAAAGAAAUGGCAAACUAUCAAUACAAGUGUUUCAGAUACUUGUGGGUAAGGAGAAAGAGGCUAUAUCAGAUAUACUUCCUUAUUUGCGGUUGGGCUAUGUAUCGGAGCCUUCUGAGAUGCAAUCUGUUAUUUCUUCUCAAGGACCAAUUUGUCCAAUGAGCCCAUGUAUGGAACGAGCUGUGUUGGAUCAGCUUGCAGGUUAUUUCAAGAGACGCCUGGCUGGUUAUCCUACUAGCUUGAGUGAAGAUGAAUUGAUGUUGGCAGAUCCUGAUUUGAACCCUAAGAAACGAGUUGCUACUCAGCUGGUUAGAUUGGAAAAGAAAAUACUCAAUGCAUGCUUGCAGACAACAGUUGAUUUGAUUAAUCAGUUACCUGAUUUUACUGUCUCUCCUUGCCCUGCGCCUUAUGCCCCUAAAUUGAAAUGAAGAAAUCAUUUUAUUUCCUUGUUGGUCUUGCAAGUUUGUGGAAAUAAAUUCCAGUAUUUUCCAUACGCAACUAUAGACCAGGUAUAUAUAUCUGAUUUGGAUACUGCUCAAGGCAGAUGAAAUAGUCAAAGUUAGCUGAACAGCCGCUAUGUUGCAAAGUUGUUGAGAAGCUGUGGGUUCCUUAUUAAUUACACGAUCAUCAGCCGAGACUAACGUCAAGUUUCUUUUGUUGGUGAUCGAUCCUACUUGUUUGUUCCAUCAUCGGAAGAGAUGGUUAUAUGAUUUUUUUAAAGGCCAAGCUAAUCGAGGAAAAGGGUAACGGGAAACAUAAGAAAGGCCAGUUCAGCUGUUAGGUCCAUGCAUAGUUUGGCCAGUCAUGAUUCUAAGGCAGAAUGGGGAUUUCAUAGGUUGCUGGAUGGUUGUCUGUUUCUGCAAUUUGUACAUCUGAUAACCUUUUUUGUUGCUAGUGUCAAGGACUCCAGACAUGUUUUUCGUACAAGGUUUUUUCAGUUGAAACUUGAUCAGUAUAAAAUGUACAUGCUACAGUCUAAUGAAACGUGGAGAUCUAAGAAAUCAUGUUAAUGUAUAUUUUACAACCUGAAUAUUUUGGUUAUUAUUUUUAAUUUAACAAAUAGAUUAAAAAGUA